UUUGUUUUGUUUCAAUACAUUGCCUUGGGUCACAAGGAGACAACUCUAUUUUGAAAUUCAAAGGAUUGGUAAGUGUCCCGCUGCUCCUUGUACCACAACGACAUUUUUUUCUUCUAUUUUUUCUUUCUAAUUUUAUUUAUUUAGUUAUUAUUAUUUUUUUAGUUUAAUGUUUUAUUUAUUAUUAUUAUUAUUAUUAUUAUGAUAUAAUUAGGUUUUAGUUUU
Molecule: long non-coding RNA, 222 nt
Filed under: Lathyrus oleraceus (garden pea)
Lineage: Eukaryota; Viridiplantae; Streptophyta; Magnoliopsida; Fabales; Fabaceae
Description: Pisum sativum (pea) long non-coding RNA (PSAT_LNC006546)
Source: RNAcentral